Molecule: transfer RNA, 72 nt
Filed under: Puniceicoccales bacterium
Lineage: Bacteria; Pseudomonadati; Verrucomicrobiota; Opitutia; Puniceicoccales
Description: tRNA-Arg
Rfam family: tRNA
About the family: Transfer RNA (tRNA) molecules are approximately 80 nucleotides in length.
Source: RNAcentral
GUCCCCAUAGUUCAAUGGAUAGAACAGCGGUUUCCUAAACCGUUAAUCCAAGUUCGAUUCUUGGUGGGGACG